UACAAGCGAGUGGUAUUUAUUAUUUCAUUGGGGGAAGUCCAAGCUCGAGGUUCGCACACAGAAAAUCUGCUUGAAACUUAGCUCUUGCGCGCCCUCGGGGUCAGGCCGCUGCUAGUAAAUUCACCGGUAAUAGCUGUACGUUUUGCUAAGAGCAAGAACAAGUUAUUUCUGUUUCUCCCUGCGUAGGACACCCUUUGUUAUGUAUUAUUUUUAGACAGCCAGUACAGCCAUACUCGAGAUGUGGAGGAUUUUGCUGCAAUACAUUGUGAGCUGCACCCACAUGCUUAAAACCAACUUUCAGCUAGCCCAGCCCAAGACAAACACUUGCGCCUUCGCCAGUUACACAGAACAAGUCCUGGGUGCAGUAAGCAGCAGUGUCAGGAGUAGGUACGAUUCUCUUUGCCCAUCUGUAAUAACCAUAAACUAAGUGAAGCCUUCUUCAGAACAGCUUACCAAUUAAUUUUUACAUUUCCGCUAGCGCUGCUGUGGUGCUUGCCUCAAACAGCAGUUGGUCCUACAAUAAAUGUAUGACUAGGAAAUCAGAAAUAGGUACACCUGUCAUUACUUGCAGAAAGUGAGUAAAGGUCCAGAGAGCUUAAGUAACUUUGCUAAUGAAAUCCUGUAGAAUGGGCACUUUCCAACUCCUUUUUCCCCAUCAGGGACUAUCCAGCAUGCUGACCUCUUAACAAACCAGAAACUAUUAAAACCACUCACACUUGUGUAGCGCACUCAGUGUAGAAACAGACUUUUAGGAUCAGACAGGCCCAGUAACUUCAAAUUCCAAUAUAAGAGAAAAAAAGAGGGGGGAAAAAAAAAAAAAAGACUGUAUGAACUGCAGAGGCCAUCUGGUUAUUUGUGUACUUGCCUGUGAGGAAUUACUCUCUGACAGUAUCACUUAAGUGAUCCUACCAAAAGUCUCAGUCGUCUUACGUGCUGAUUUAAGUUACUGUUGUUGCUCUGGAAUUCAGCUCAUAGCAGAAGGUAUUAAAGAGAGCGCAGCAUACUAAAUCAUAUACCUUUAGUGCGCAAAGUAUAAAAAUGACUAGAAAUGAUAAAUGUCAAGAAGCUAAUAAUAUCUCAUUUAUGAUAGAAAACAUGUUGUUUUAUCUUUUAAAUGAUAAUCCACAUGUGUAUCUGCCCUGCAGCUGUACAAAUGCUUUAGAACUGGAGACAGGUUUUCCACAGAGAGCUUGGUGGUGUCCAUACUCUCACAUGUCUGAUGCACAACUGAGCCUGCUGCCUUUCCAGUUUCUUUAUUCUGGCAGGUGGACUACAGGACUAUGUUCUGUAGCUGGACAGCUCUCUGAUAAUGCCGUGUUCCUUAUUGGUAUUUGCAUUAUUUAACCAUCUUUAUAUAGUUUAAAUUCAUGAUUUAUUCUCUCUAGUAAGCUCUACUUACAUGACUUUUCCUUGAGAUUCACCUUCCAGCUCUGCCUGCCCUGUGCACAGGGCACAUCUGGCAAAAGCACUCCAUCCUUAAGGUGUAAGGUCUUGACCUUCAUGCCAAUAAAACCAGGAAGUGGCAGUUCCAAAAUGAUUUCAUUAAAAAAGACAGUGGCUGCAUCAUUGAUUCCCACAACCUAUUGACCAAGGACUCAUAGCACAGGCCGAAUCAAUCACAGCAGCAUGGUACAGUGCCAGAACCUGACCUCCUAACAGAUUUGAGAUGAAAAGCUUCUGAUCCACAUAGGGCUAACACAGAAAGGCCUCCCUGUUCCUCAGAUCCUCUACAGCUUCAAAGAACUGCUGAGCUUCGUUUCCUGGUUCCCAUACUGAAGACAGUGUCUCCACCUCAGAUUAUUAACAUGCAGGCAGGGUUCCUCAGUGUUCUAGACCCCCUCAAUUAUUCUCAGUAAGAAAAUGAGGAGUUUUCGCUACAGAUGGUCCAGGCUCUGGCACAGAACAGAUGUCAUGCCUUGAUAUGGCAGUUCAGACCAAUGGCACAAAGAUCAGGGCAGGCUCAACAUGUAGUUCCGUAUCAAGAGCCUUACACUUUCAAAUAAUUUCUCAUUGACCUUAUGACAGGCUACCAGAUCAGGAUCCUCAACCUCUCCUCAUUAAAUAUUAGGAUGUUAGUCCAUAUUAUUUCAAAAUUUCAGAAUGUAGCAUUAUCAGGGGCAUCUGACCAGACCUCAGCACACACUUCUAUAAUCUCACAGAUCUGUUUCCCUCCCCUUCUCCAUCUCACAGGUGAGACGUGGUGCCUCAAAAUAGAAUUCUUUCUGCUUUUCGUCAAGGAGGAAAUAAUUCUACUGGGAUACCAUACGAUUUCAAGCAAAACAUAACUGUUCCUCUGAACCACGGUUUGCUGGCAGCAGGACCCUCACUACCUUUUGUGGCACUAGCUCAACAUGUGCAUGUGGCUUCAGUCCCAGUCCAUCUGAAUCUUCCCACCCCUACUUGGCAGAGUCAAGUUUUCAUUCAAGCUGCCACUGCUGAUUCACCCUGCAUUGAAGACUUCCACAGGAGGAGAAUUUUCUGCCUACCAGCUUUCACCUUCACUAGUUACCAAAUUCUCAAAAGAAACACUUAAAGAAGUACAGAUCAUUUAAACACAAAUGCUAUUUAACUGCUUCAGCAUCCUCCUCUCUUUCCUUGCAGUAUUAAACUUUGGACACAUUUCUAUGUUGCUAAAGUGUAUCACCUACAUAUUAUCACCUUCGUUUCACAGAUUAGGAAAGAUCAACUCAGUCUUCCUGCAGCACUUAAACACUGGCAGUGGUGCUGAUCUUCCCUGGAUGGAAUUCUGUAUCACUCUCCUCGUCUGAACAGCUGCCUGGUGAAGGAACAAGCAAGAUGCAUGCACUCCAUGCAUGCUUUACGACCUGCAAGAAUCUUUCCAUUUCAAGACAGGUUUUAGACUGCCAUAAUAUGCGUAUGUGCGUCUUCUUCCUAUCACGAUGACAAAUCUGCCUAACCUUGCUAAGCCAUGAGAUGCCUCUGUAUGAUGCUUCAAGCCAAUCUAUUUUCAACGUUUUACACCUUCAGACUCCUCUAUGCAUGAUUUAUAUUCCCCUCCAGAAUACUGUCUCAUGAUACAGAACAUUACCAUGGUCCUCUCAUCCUGCAAGGGGAUGCUUUUCGAUCUCACCUCAUCAAUUGUGAUACAUGGCACUGGUGAAGUACUCGCAGGCAUGACUCCACAAAGCUGGUUGUUCUCAAAGGAAAGGCUGUUCCCAAACCUCACAGAAGCCAGAACAGCAUGCCCUGUGGAAAAGAUGCUGCAACCCUAUCAAAAGACAUGUUAUGGCAGUGUGCUGACAAACAAAAUCACAGCUGUUCAUCUUCACUCUGUGAAGUGGUGUAGUGUCCCUCCACCUCUACGGGCUCAUCUUUGUGUACUACUGUAUUUAAAGACAAAUCCACGUAUCACUGAUCAACCUCCUAGUUAUCAUUGAUACUUUGGCAGAAAGGCUGACUUCUUUUUCGUACUAGACUGAGUGGGAUAUAUGGUCCAAAGUCCUAUAUGACAAUUCCAGAACAGGAAUCAACAUUUUGGCUUCUAGUAUGGAAGAAAAGUGUUGGCACUUUUUACUCUUACACAUUUACUGAAUAUUUCCCUUGUUCUCUGGUGAGAAAGAAUAGUCUGCAUUUUCCUUUUCAUUCCACUGAUCCUGAAGUUUUAGGCAUAUUAUGACAAAAGGGUGAUUAUCAGUGUUCAUCCAUGUUCACCAACUGCUAAUGAAUCAAAGAUCUUUGACUCUUAAAGCCUCACUAAUGCUUACUUCCUGCACGUGCCAUCUUUCUCAUCCUCAGAAUCAAAGUGUUUCUGUAAGAUGACCUUUUAUAUCUCCAAAAACAGUUCAUGUUGAUUCAAACAAAGGGUCUUCACUGAAAGAGGAGUUUUAAAAUAGACUGCAGGCUGUGUCAAUGCCUUUUAUGGUACUGAUAAAGACAGGGCCUUUUUAUCAUCAGAGCUCCACCAGAACUUAAGCUACAUCAGCAUGCUUGCUAAGAAAUACCUCUGAGUUGCAUCUGCUAACAUCUAUGGAAUGUUAUCUAUAGAUAAUACUUAAAGAUCAUUUGACAGAGUGGUCUUCAAGCUGUACAGUUGCUACAAAGUCCUCACCCUGUUUCCAUUUAAGCAUUUGUGGCAAUUACUUCUUGGAGUCACCUAGUGCAAGAAGAGGUAUGUAGACUGUCACUUGCAGACAGAAAGAUACGUUAAGCACGUCACUGAGAUACACAAUUGACAGGAAACCUACUUCCUGCCUUACUUACCCUUCCACUAUCUAGCUUGAAUCCUUUUAGCAUCAUGUACCUUUGGGAUUUUGCAGUUACAAGAUGCUCUCUACCAGAUGUGCUGCUAAGUGUUGCAUGAUGGAAGGCAAGGCUUGAGCUCACCCCUACAGACAGGUCAUUGCAGUGACAUCUCCUUCUUCUCUGAACCUGUAACACCUAUUCUCCAGAGAACCCAGUUUCUUUGGGAGCAUGCCCUCUUAGCUUUACAAUAAUCUACAAAACAUAACAGGGUCUAGGAUCACUUACUUUAUGGUAACUGGCACCACCCAUGUGGAAGACCACAUCAGUACUAUAGAAGUACAAACAUAAAAAUACUAUAGAAGAAUGUUCAAGAGCUCCACUAAUCAAAAAGCAAGCAACUGAUUUCUUCAUGUACUGCCAUACAUCCAUUAAAUCUAAAUAUUGAAAGAUCUCCAGAACACAGCGAGUCAGUGCUCUGCUGAACUGACGCAAGGCAUAUCCUUCACCCCCAAACGGCCUUCCCUGUGACGGCUACACAGAUCAGGUCGAAGCAUCCUUCCCGAAGCGCCCCUGCAGACGGCUGCCGGCACCUCCUUAAGAAGGGGUCCCGCCGCCCGCCAGCCCCCGCUGCGAGAACGGGAACGGCCGCUCCGCCCGCGGGCUCCCGAGGAAGGCGCUGCCGGCCCGACACAGGCCCCGGCAGUCCCUCGGGGCCUGCGGUGUCGCAGGAACCCCCAGGACGGCGCCGCCGCCGCCCCCC
This 4963-nucleotide long non-coding RNA is filed under the name Strigops habroptila (Kakapo). RNAcentral's name for it is "lncRNA (ENSSHBG00005016545.1)". The record is from RNAcentral. Lineage: Eukaryota; Metazoa; Chordata; Aves; Psittaciformes; Psittacidae.